GAUCGGGUGGAUAUUGAGGGAAAUGCACAUAGUGGUCCGCUUGUUAGAUUGGCCUUUGCUUCUCUCUACGACACACUUGGCAUGUGCUUGACCGAUGAAACUACAGUUCUGUUGCUGUAUGCUUUGGUUCAUGGGAAUUCAGACUUUCUAGAAUACGUUCUGGUUCGAACGGAUAUAGAUACAUUGGCUCAAGCUAUGUGAACACAAUUGGAAGACAUUCAAGCUCCUCUUGAAAAUGAGACGAAG
Long non-coding RNA from Helianthus annuus (common sunflower), 246 nucleotides. RefSeq lists it as uncharacterized. NCBI's taxonomy places the organism in Eukaryota, Viridiplantae, Streptophyta, Magnoliopsida, Asterales, Asteraceae. The transcript is spliced from 3 exons. The record is from RefSeq and is a predicted model, not a curated record.